GCAACUAAGAAGAGUGUUGCAACAACUUUUAAAUACCUUACACUAGAGGAGUGGUGCUCAACCUUUUUGUCUUCAAAACAUACUUACAAGCACAAGAAUUUUUGUUCACAUUCAAGAUGGAAUUAAAGGCUUCAAAACAACAACAGGUAAACCAGAAACAAUUGCAAUAUAAUCAUUAUUAUGAUUGAAAAGUGACUCAUAAGAUUUACAAAAAUUCACUUGUUUAUCCAAUGAUUUAGUCAGUCUUAGCAGAGUGUCACUGUUCUAGAA
This 270-nucleotide long non-coding RNA is filed under the name Bos taurus (domestic cattle). RNAcentral's name for it is "long non-coding RNA NONBTAT022587". The record is from RNAcentral. Lineage: Eukaryota; Metazoa; Chordata; Mammalia; Artiodactyla; Bovidae.